GGUUAAGCGACUAAGCGUACACGGUGGAUGCCCUGGCAGUCAGAGGCGAUGAAGGACGUGCUAAUCUGCGAUAAGCGCCGGUAAGGUGAUAUGAACCGUUAUAACCGGCGAUUUCCGAAUGGGGAAACCCAGUGUGACUCGUCACACUAUCAUUAACUGAAUCCAUAGGUUAAUGAGGCGAACCGGGGGAACUGAAACAUCUAAGUACCCCGAGGAAAAGAAAUCAACCGAGAUUCCCCCAGUAGCGGCGAGCGAACGGGGAGGAGCCCAGAGCCUGAAUCAGCAUGUGUGUUAGUGGAAGCGUCUGGAAAGGCGCGCGAUACAGGGUGACAGCCCCGUACACAAAAGCGCAUGUGCUGUGAGCUCGAUGAGUAGGGCGGGACACGUGGUAUCCUGUCUGAAUAUGGGGGGACCAUCCUCCAAGGCUAAAUACUCCUGACUGACCGAUAGUGAACCAGUACCGUGAGGGAAAGGCGAAAAGAACCCCGGCGAGGGGAGUGAAAAAGAACCUGAAACCGUGUACGUACAAGCAGUGGGAGCACCCUUUGGGGUGUGACUGCGUACCUUUUGUAUAAUGGGUCAGCGACUUAUAUUCUGUAGCAAGGUUAACCGAAUAGGGGAGCCGGAGGGAAACCGAGUCUUAACCGGGCGUUAAGUUGCAGGGUAUAGACCCGAAACCCGGUGAUCUAGCCAUGGGCAGGUUGAAGGUUGGGUAACACUAACUGGAGGACCGAACCGACUAAUGUUGAAAAAUUAGCGGAUGACCUGUGGCUGGGGGUGAAAGGCCAAUCAAACCGGGAGAUAGCUGGUUCUCCCCGAAAGCUAUUUAGGUAGCGCCUCGUGAACUCAUCUCCGGGGGUAGAGCACUGUUUCGGCUAGGGGGCCAUCCCGGCUUACCAACCCGAUGCAAACUGCGAAUACCGGAGAAUGUUAUCACGGGAGACACACGGCGGGUGCUAACGUCCGUCGUGAAGAGGGAAACAACCCAGACCGCCAGCUAAGGUCCCAAAGUCAUGGUUAAGUGGGAAACGAUGUGGGAAGGCCCAGACAGCCAGGAUGUUGGCUUAGAAGCAGCCAUCAUUUAAAGAAAGCGUAAUAGCUCACUGGUCGAGUCGGCCUGCGCGGAAGAUGUAACGGGGCUAAACCAUGCACCGAAGCUGCGGCAGCGACACUCAGGUGUUGUUGGGUAGGGGAGCGUUCUGUAAGCCUG
RNAcentral lists this ribosomal RNA (1210 nucleotides) under Salmonella enterica. Its description in RNAcentral is "partial 23S ribosomal RNA". It matches the Rfam family "Bacterial large subunit ribosomal RNA", at positions 1 to 1251 of the family's 2925-position model. The record is from RNAcentral. Lineage: Bacteria; Pseudomonadati; Pseudomonadota; Gammaproteobacteria; Enterobacterales; Enterobacteriaceae.